UACGAGAGCCUCGAGCGUUAUCCGGAAUUAUUGGGCGUAAAGGGUGCGUAGGUUGUUCUGUUAGUCUUUUGUUAAAUCCCCGAGCUUAACUUGGGAAUCGCGAAGGAAACGGCAGAACUUGAAAGUGUGAGAGGCGUACGGAACUCAUGGUGUAGGGGUGAAAUCCGUUGAUAUCAUGGGGAACACCAAAUGCGAAGGCAGUACGCUGGCGCAUAUUUGACACUGAAGCACGAAAGCGUGGGUAGCGAAUGGG
Molecule: ribosomal RNA, 253 nt
Filed under: uncultured bacterium
Lineage: Bacteria
Description: partial 16S ribosomal RNA
Rfam family: Bacterial small subunit ribosomal RNA
Source: RNAcentral